This is a long non-coding RNA of Oreochromis aureus, 246 nucleotides long. RefSeq lists it as uncharacterized. The transcript is spliced from 4 exons. NCBI's taxonomy places the organism in Eukaryota, Metazoa, Chordata, Actinopteri, Cichliformes, Cichlidae. The record is from RefSeq and is a predicted model, not a curated record.
GUCGUCAGUCUGUGGAGGUGACCAUGGAGGUUUUAACAGACAUGAACAGACCUGAUCUGAUGCUGAGGCUGUCAGAGAGCAGCUCAGGACGAAAAACUGAAAGAAGUUCAGAGCUUGAAGGUUGUCAGAGCAUGACGCAGGACUCCAGUGAUUGGACUAAACUUGAACCUGAGGUGAACAGUACAGAUGCAGACGAGGCUCCAACUUACAGCCUUCAGUCUGCAGCAGGACACUGAAUGCAGAGUC